UUUGACCUCGGAUCAGGUAGGGAUACCCGCUGAACUUAAGCAUAUCAAUAAGCGGAGGAAAAGAAACCAACAGGGAUUGCCUCA
This 84-nucleotide ribosomal RNA is filed under the name Stipitochalara longipes. RNAcentral describes it as "Chalara longipes partial 28S ribosomal RNA". It matches the Rfam family "Eukaryotic large subunit ribosomal RNA", at positions 1 to 82 of the family's 3401-position model. Lineage: Eukaryota; Fungi; Ascomycota; Leotiomycetes; Helotiales; Hamatocanthoscyphaceae. The record is from RNAcentral. RNAcentral also lists the same sequence under 2 other names.